Molecule: ribosomal RNA, 500 nt
Filed under: uncultured bacterium
Lineage: Bacteria
Description: bacterial SSU rRNA
Rfam family: Bacterial small subunit ribosomal RNA
Source: RNAcentral
GACGAACGCUGGCGGCGUGCCUAAUACAUGCAAGUCGAGCGGGCUUAUUCGAGUAGCUUGCUAUUUGGAUAAGUCAGCGGCGGACGGGUGAGUAACACGUGGGUAAUCUGCCUCGUAGUCUGGGAUAACAAGCCGAAAGGUUUGCUAAUACCGGAUGAGUUCAUGUUAUUGCAUAGUGACAUGAAGAAAGGGGAGACCCGCUAUGAGAUGAGCCCGCGUCCCAUUAGCUAGUUGGUGGGGUAAAGGCCUACCAAGGCGACGAUGGGUAGCCGGCCUGAGAGGGUGGACGGCCACACUGGGACUGAGACACGGCCCAGACUCCUACGGGGGGCAGCAGUAGGGAAUUUUCGGCAAUGGGCGGAAGCCUGACCGAGCGACGCCGCGUGAGGGACGAAGGCCUUCGGUUGUAAACCUCUGUCUGGGGGACGAGGUAAGGACGGUACCCCCGGAGGAAGGCCCCGGCGUAACUACGUGCCAGCAGCCGCGGUAAAGUACUCUAU